Molecule: non-coding RNA, 351 nt
Organism: Pseudopipra pipra
Lineage: Eukaryota; Metazoa; Chordata; Aves; Passeriformes; Pipridae
Source: the annotation of a RefSeq genome assembly
GCAGGGCUGCGGGCGGCCGUGACCCUGGUGGAGUCCGGGGGUGACCUCAAGGCCCCGGGGGAGUCCCUGCGGCUCCUCUGCCGCGCCUCCGGCUUCACCUUCGCCAGCUACUCCAUGUACUGGGUGCGCCAGAGCCCCGGGAAGGGGCUGGAAUGGGUUGCUGGGAUCUACAGCAGUGGUGGUAGCACCUACUAUGCGCCGUCGGUGAAGGGCCGGUUCACCAUCGCCAGGGACAACGGGCAGAGCUCGGUGACGCUGCAGAUGAACAACCUCAGGGAGGAGGAUUCCGCCACCUAUUUCUGCGCCAGAAGUGCUGAUGGCAAUGCUGUUAUGGGUGAUGAUAUCGACGUC